AAAGCCAAGGGAUCGCAAGACCUUGCGCUUUUGGAGCGGCCGAUGUCUGAUUAGCUAGUUGGUGAGGUAAAGGCUCACCAAGGCGACGAUCAGUAGCUGGUCUGAGAGGACGACCAGCCACACUGGAACUGAGACACGGUCCAGACUCCUACGGGAGGCAGCAGUGGGGAAUUUUGGACAAUGGGGGCAACCCUGAUCCAGCCAUGCCGCGUGAGUGAAGAAGGCCUUCGGGUUGUAAAGCUCUUUCAGCCGGAACGAAACGGUCACGGAUAAUACCUGUGACUAAUGACGGUACCGGAAGAAGAAGCACCGGCUAACUACGUGCCAGCAGCCGCGGUAAUACGUAGGGUGCGAGCGUUAAUCGGAAUUACUGGGCGUAAAGCGUGCGCAGGCGGU
Molecule: ribosomal RNA, 396 nt
Filed under: uncultured Nitrosospira sp.
Lineage: Bacteria; Pseudomonadati; Pseudomonadota; Betaproteobacteria; Nitrosomonadales; Nitrosomonadaceae
Description: bacterial SSU rRNA
Rfam family: Bacterial small subunit ribosomal RNA
Source: RNAcentral